UUCUUGUAACGUGCGUUUAAUCCCUGUCCAAAGCAAACGUCCGUUUGGUUUUUUAAGGGAGACUAAACGCGCUCUCACUUUCAAUAGGUUUUCUUCCUCCACCAAAGCAAAACCACCAUUUAGACUUUCAAAAUCCUUAUGAGCCCUCUCUCUGACAAGGAAUAUAUGGAGUUUAUUCGGUCUGUGGUUUCUGUUUAAUCAAGAAGGUUAUGUUAUACGCAGUUGCUGCAAUCCACAAGACCCAGUCCAACGUCGCCUUCAUCAACAAAGGUAAUAGAUCGAGUUGGAGCUUAGAGUUUUUCAACAAGCUUGAGAUUUGAAGUGAGAAUCGUAUGCUGUUUUAUUGUAUUUUAGUAUUUAUGAAAUUUCAGUGAUGUAUUUUGAGAUGGUUGUUACCUUUUAUGAAUUUUGGGUUGUAAUUUAUUUAAGAGAUGUUUUCGGGCUUUAAUUAUAGCUUAGAUAAUAUUUUUCCGCAUUUCACUAUUUAUUUCACUUUAAUAGGUAUUAUAGGGUGGUUUUUUGAGUUAAUUACGAGAUAAUUAAUUUUAGAAGCACUGCCAAUAACUUUGAAGGUUAAUUAUCCUUGUUAAUUAAAUAUAUGGACGUUACAUGGUGUCCCCUUGACAUCAACACAGUUAGCCUAGUGUGUCACCCAUGGUGUCAAUACAGUCAAAUUAGUUUUAAAAGUUUUAAGAAGGAAAAGAAGGUUUUAAAUCGGUUUUAAGGGUAAGUUCAAGUAUUGUCUGAGCAUGAUUUAUCUGUGGUAUUGAUCCAAAAGUUUUGAAUAUAUGUUUGUGAUAUGAAACUUUAUUGACAUGAUGUGAUUUACAUGUUUUUAAAGGCAAGGAGUUUGAAAUAAAAUGGUUUAUGAAAAACUCUUUAAAAAAUGUUGUUAAAUUGGGUACCUGGUAGUUAAGUGAGGUUAUACACUUAACAAUCCAAAGUUAGGACGGGAAAAUAAAAACCCCAAUCAACCUAGUGGUUAUGUGGGCUUAUACGCUUAGCAUAUUGAAGUUGGUAGAAAGAUAAAACACCACCAACCGUGCGGUUA
Long non-coding RNA from Corylus avellana, 1051 nucleotides. RefSeq lists it as uncharacterized. The record is from RefSeq and is a predicted model, not a curated record. Lineage: Eukaryota; Viridiplantae; Streptophyta; Magnoliopsida; Fagales; Betulaceae.